RNAcentral lists this long non-coding RNA (245 nucleotides) under Setaria italica (foxtail millet). RNAcentral's name for it is "long non-coding RNA (SITA_LNC002445)". Lineage: Eukaryota; Viridiplantae; Streptophyta; Magnoliopsida; Poales; Poaceae. The record is from RNAcentral.
ACGGGUACUCAUACUUUUAUUAAUUUAUUUUUAAAAUUAACCAUACUAUUAUUUUAGUUGUAGGCGAUGUGUUUACUUAUAGGUAGCGAGCUCUGUCUCUCGAAGAUUGCGAGGUAAUCGUCCCAAACUUCUGCACCAAAAGCUUAAUAUAUACACAAUUAAUUCAAGGUAAAUGCUAAAUAAGGCGGAAACCGAAAUUAGAUACUGUUUGGUUCGUGAGGUUAGAUGUCACUGCGAGCUCGCGC